CCCGAAAUUCACCCUGGACUGUACCAGCUGUGUGACGCCAGUUUGCAGACGGUGUGGAAACAGGCAGCAAGUUGGAGUCAACCCAUAAGCCAUCAACUGCUGACUGACGAUGCAGGCAGUCACCGGUAGAGGAUAAGAAAUGCAUCCUAAGGGCAAAAAUGCAUUGCUCAAGAGAAGCUGGAUCCCACAUGACAACCGCAAUUCAAAUCCGCAGCUCCAUCAACCUGAAACACCCUGGGCACAUGUGCAAGUGCCCGAGAUUCAG
Long non-coding RNA from Tupaia belangeri chinensis (Chinese tree shrew), 265 nucleotides. RefSeq lists it as uncharacterized. NCBI's taxonomy places the organism in Eukaryota, Metazoa, Chordata, Mammalia, Scandentia, Tupaiidae. The record is from RefSeq and is a predicted model, not a curated record. The transcript is spliced from 3 exons.